CCCUAUGGGGCGCAGCAGGCGCGAAACCUCUGCAAUAGGCGAAAGCUUGACAGGGUUACUCUGAGUGAUUUCCGUUAAGGAGAUCUCUUGACACCUCUAAAAAUGGUGAAGAAUAAGGGGUGGGCAAGUCUGGUGUCAACCGCCGCGGUAAUACCAGCUCCUCGAGUGGUCAGGGCGUUUAUUGGGCCUAAAGCAUCCGUAGCCUGCUCAGUAGGUCUCCUGUUAAAUCCAACGGCUCAACCGUUGGUCUGCAGGAGAUACCGCUGGGCUAGGAGGCGGGAGAGGCGGACGGUACUCCGAGGGUAGGGGUAAAAUCCUUUGAUCCCCGGAAGACCACCAGUGGCGAAGGCGGUCCGCCAGAACGCGCUCGACGGUGAGGGAUGAAAGCUGGGGGAGCGAACCGGAUUAGAUACCCGGGUAGUCCCAGCUGUAAACGAUGCGAGCUAGGUGACACGACGCCUUCGGGGCAUCGUGGUGCCGCAGGGAAGCCGUUAAGCUCGCCGCCUGGGGAGUACGGACGCAAGUCUGAAACUUAAAGGAAUUGGCGGGGGAGCACCACAAGGGGUGAAGCCUGCGGUUCAAUUGGACUCAACGCCGGAA
Molecule: ribosomal RNA, 600 nt
Filed under: uncultured archaeon
Lineage: Archaea
Description: bacterial SSU rRNA
Rfam family: Archaeal small subunit ribosomal RNA
Source: RNAcentral